This 107-nucleotide small nuclear RNA is filed under the name Microcebus murinus (gray mouse lemur). Lineage: Eukaryota; Metazoa; Chordata; Mammalia; Primates; Cheirogaleidae. The record is from RNAcentral.
GUGCUUGCUUCGGCAGCACAUAUACUAAAAUUGGAACGACACAGAGAAGAUUAGCAUGGUCCCUGUGCAAGAAUGACAUGUAAAUGCGUGAAGUGGUCCGUAUUUUU